GUGUCAGCAGCCGCGGUAAGACGAACCGUGCGAACGUUGUUCGGAAUCACUGGGCUUAAAGGGCGCGUAGGCGGUCGAUCCAGUCGGGGGUGAAAUCUUGCGGCUUAACCGUAAAAGUGCCUUCGAUACUGAUCGACUCGAGGGAGGUAGGGGCAGGUGGAACUUCCAGUGGAGCGGUGAAAUGUGUUGAUAUUGGAAGGAACGCCGGUGGCGAAAGCGACCUGCUGGAUCUCUUCUGACGCUGAGGCGCGAAAGCUAGGGGAGCAAACGGGAUUAGAUACCCCGGUAGUCCUAGCCCUAAACGAUGAGUACUGAGUAGUGGACUUACAUGGGUUCACUGCUGAAGCAAAAGUGGUAAGUACUCCGCCUGGGGAGUAUGGUCGCAAGGCUGAA
RNAcentral lists this ribosomal RNA (393 nucleotides) under uncultured bacterium. RNAcentral describes it as "bacterial SSU rRNA". It matches the Rfam family "Bacterial small subunit ribosomal RNA", at positions 505 to 898 of the family's 1533-position model. The record is from RNAcentral.